GCUCGUAGUCGGAUUUCGGGGCGGGCCGACCGGUCUGCCGAUGGGUAUGCACUGGCCGGCGCGUCCUUCCACCCGGAGACCGCGCCUACUCUUAACUGAGCGGGCGCGGGAGACGGGUCUUUUACUUUGAAAAAAUCAGAGUGUUUCAAGCAGGCAGUCGCUCUUGCAUGGAUUAGCAUGGGAUAAUGAAAUAGGACUCUGGUGCUAUUUUGUUGGUUUCGAACACCGGAGUAAUGAUUAACAGGGACAGUCAGGGGCACUCGUAUUCCGCCGAGAGAGGUGAAAUUCUCAGACCAGCGGAAGACGAACCACUGCGAAAGCAUUUGCCAGGGAUGUUUUCACUGAUCAAGAACGAAAGUUAGGGGAUCGAAGACGAUCAGAUACCGUCGUAGUCUUAACCAUAAACCAUGCCGACUAGGGUUGGAGGAUGUUCCAUUUGUGACUCCUUCAGCACCUUUCGGGAAACUAAAGUCUUUGGGUUCCGGGGGGAGUAUGGUCGCAAGGCUGAAACUUAAAGGAAUUGACGGAAGGGCACCACCAGGAGUGGAGCCUGCGGCUUAAUUUGACUCAACACGGGGAAACUUACCAGGUCCAGACAUUGUGAGGAUUGACAGAUUGAGAGCUCUUUCUUGAUUCGAUGGGGUGGUGGUGCAUGGCCGU
RNAcentral lists this ribosomal RNA (660 nucleotides) under Emiliania huxleyi. RNAcentral's name for it is "SSU rRNA". It matches the Rfam family "Eukaryotic small subunit ribosomal RNA", at positions 626 to 1291 of the family's 1831-position model. The record is from RNAcentral. Lineage: Eukaryota; Haptophyta; Isochrysidales; Noelaerhabdaceae.